CUUUUUUAAUUUCUCCAGACAGUGGGAACUGCUCGUCCCCUGAGGCUGAGCUGUUCUUUGCUGUCUGUACAUUUACAUACAUUCAUGGUUGUGUACAUGCCUACUUCUUCAAUUCUAGAGACAAAACAGUGGUCUAUAGUGUGGUGCUCAGAACUGAUGUGAGGUUUGGCAACGCUGAACCCGAAAGAGGGAAGGAGAACUGGAGUGUACCAUGAAAUUCUCAGGUUGGGCACAAUGUGUAUGACAUUUCCAGCAUAACUGGACUGAAUGUGAAAACCUAUGGAGAGUGUGAUACUUCUUUUCCUUUCAAAUCCACUCUUUGGUGGAAAGGAGCCCUCUUACAUUAUGAGCAAAAGAACCCCUCAUGCAUAAAAAUAGGGAGCAGAAGAACCUUUAAGCAUACUCACAGCUAAGGUAAAAUCAUACUGUAGAACUGAAAGUAGUUCUCCUGUGAAUUGGUCCCAGGUAGAUUUUUCCACCUAUGCAUUUCUGUGAAACUCCUUUCUUGGCCUACCCACACACCAUCUGCUUAG
This is a long non-coding RNA of Gallus gallus (chicken), 533 nucleotides long. The record is from Ensembl. NCBI's taxonomy places the organism in Eukaryota, Metazoa, Chordata, Aves, Galliformes, Phasianidae.